CAGCCGCCGCGGGAAUACGUAGGGUGCAAGCGUUAAUCGGAAUUACUGGGCGUAAAGCGUGCGCAGGCGGUUAUAUAAGACAGAUGUGAAAUCCCCGGGCUCAACCUGGGAACUGCAUUUGUGACUGUAUAGCUAGAGUACGGCAGAGGGGGAUGGAAUUCCGCGUGUAGCAGUGAAAUGCGUAGAUAUGCGGAGGAACACCGAUGGCGAAGGCAAUCCCCUGGGCCUGUACUGACGCUCAUGCACGAAAGCGUGGGGAGCAAACAGGAUUAGAUACCCCCGUACCCUGUCUCUUAUACAC
RNAcentral lists this ribosomal RNA (301 nucleotides) under uncultured bacterium. RNAcentral's name for it is "partial 16S ribosomal RNA". It matches the Rfam family "Bacterial small subunit ribosomal RNA", at positions 509 to 809 of the family's 1533-position model. The record is from RNAcentral.